RNAcentral lists this long non-coding RNA (678 nucleotides) under Olea europaea (common olive). Its description in RNAcentral is "long non-coding RNA (OEUR_LNC008954)". Lineage: Eukaryota; Viridiplantae; Streptophyta; Magnoliopsida; Lamiales; Oleaceae. The record is from RNAcentral.
UUUUUUUUUUUUUUUUUUGUAUUUCAAUUUUGAGUUAUUUAUUUAUUUAUUUUUCAUAUUUGGACCAUUAAUGUCCUUUUUUUGCAUAUUUGUAUAGUUUGAUAAAUUCGUAUUUAGUGAAGAGAUUAAUGAAAGCGCUCAUUGCAAAAAUCUCUAUACUUCGUUCUGUUUUGUCUUCAUAUACUGGAAAAAAUUGGUUGUUUUUAUCUUUAAUUUAAUUUUGUUCCAAAAUGGGUGUUUUUGGGAAGUGGAUAAAAUCACUCGUUGGUUUGAAAAAGCCGGGAGCAAAUGACUUUGUAAGCUAGUAAUCUUUGUAUUAUCUUUAUAUGAUUUUUUUUUUUUAUGAUUUAUGCAAUGAUUUUUUAUUGAAUUGUGUUGAGCCUAAUAAUCUUUGUAUUAUCUUUAUAUGAUUUUUUGGUGUUUAAUGCAAUGAUUUUUAUAUUGAACUAUGUUGAGCUUAAUUCAUAUGUAAUGGUGUGUUUGGUUGGGUUUAAUAGUUGUUGUUGACUUCUUGUUUCCUUUUUGUUUAAUGAUUGUUAUUGUUGUGUCGUCCACGAGUUGCUCGUCGAAAAUCCCCGCUCGGUUUGUGCUAGACUGAUAGGGUUUGUCCCGAAACAAACACGAGCCACCCAUGAGCCGAGUCCCAAUGAUCGAGCUGACGAUAUCACUAUUUAGCCC